AUGUUCGUCCUGCAAAGGUCUAUAUUAUCAACUGCCAGCAGAAAUUGCGGUGGAUCAUGGACACGAGUGUUGCUGCCUACACACGUCACCGUGAAGGACGCCCAACAAAAAGAGAUUCACGAGGUUUCGGGAGAUGUGAUACCUAUAAAUAUGGUGAAGGGUAUCGGACAUCUUAGAGAUCCCCGGCUCAACAAGGGCUUAGCAUUUACUCUAAAAGAGAGGAUAGCAUUGGGAAUACAUGGCCUGCAACCUCCGAGAUUUAAAACACAGGAAGAACAGCUGGCACUAUGCAAAGCUUCAGUUAUGAAAUAUACAGAAGAUUUAAACCGAUAUCUAUAUCUGGUGGAGCUUCAGGAGAGGAAUGAGAGGCUAUUUUUUCGCCUACUGAGUGAAAACAUCGAACAGAUGAUGCCGAUUGUUUAUACACCUACUGUUGGGCUCGCCUGUCAAAAAUUUGGCGUAAUUUACCGUAGACCACGUGGGCUUUUCAUCACUAUAUAUGACAAGGGCCACAUUUACGAGGUUUUGAAUAAUUGGCCAGAACAAGCAGUACGAGCCAUUUGUGUAACAGAUGGCGAGCGAAUUUUAGGUCUUGGUGACCUUGGUGCUUGCGGCAUGGGUAUCCCUGUCGGGAAACUAGCACUUUAUACAGCUCUAGCUGGCAUUAAACCACACCAAUGUCUCCCGAUCACUAUUGACGUAGGUACUAAUAACGAACAGUUAAGAAACGAUCCUCACUACAUCGGUCUUAACAAGCCCAGAACUCAAGGUGUUGAAUACGAUGAAUUGAUCGACGAAUUUAUGGCAGCCUGCGUAAAAAAGUACGGACAAAACGUUCUUAUUCAAUUCGAAGAUUUCGGGAAUCACAAUGCUUUUCGUUUCUUAGACAAGUAUCGAAAUAAGUACUGCACAUUCAACGAUGACAUUCAAGGUACGGCCGCGGUUGCAGUGGCUGGCAUUCUAGCAUCAAAGAGGAUAACCAAAAAGAGAAUGUCGGAUAAUAAGUUUGUCUUCCUGGGUGCCGGAGAGGCAGCUAUUGGAAUAGCGGAUCUUUGCGUUAAAGCGAUGGAGGCUGAUGGUUGCACCGAGCAGCAGGCUCGUGAUAAUAUUUGGAUGAUGGAUAUCGACGGAUUACUCGUCAAGAAUCGGCCUGAAGGUAAUCUGGAGGGCCACAAGAUUUGGUACGCGAAAGAACACAAAGUAAUGAAGACGCUAAUCGAGGUCGUGAGGGAGAUCAAACCUACGGUUUUGAUAGGCGCUUCGGCAGCUGCAGGUGCAUUCACUCCUGAAGUCUUAAAAGAAAUGGCGAAAAAUAACGAAAGGCCAUUGAUUUUUGCUUUGAGUAAUCCAACCAGUAAAGCUGAAUGUACAGCACAGCAGGCAUACGAUCAUACAGAUGGAAGAUGCGUGUUCUCUUCUGGUUCACCAUUCGGUGAAGUAAAUUAUAAUGGAAAGACAUAUAAACCGGGACAAGGUAAUAACGCGUAUAUCUUCCCUGGUAUAGCCUUGGGCGUUAUUGCGACUGGAUGUCACCACAUCACGGAAGAUUUGUUCUUAAUCUCGGCACAAGCUGUGGCUGAUCACGUGAAGGAUGAGGACCUCCAAAGGGGAAGUUUGUACCCACCGUUGAAUAACAUUCGCGAAUGCUCAAUUGACAUUGCAGUUAGGAUAGCGGACUACGCUUAUGCUAAAGGUGGUUUGGCGAGCGAAUAUCCGGAACCAAAAGACAAGCGAAAAUUUAUUAUGAGUAAAAUGUACGAAUGCAACUAUGACAGUCCACUGCCAAGCUUUUACGAGUGGCCAGGUGACUCUGCCAAACCUCGCAUCUUACCUGAAAAAGACACAGUAGAAAUCCGCCACAAUUUAAAACAUCUAUAGUGAAUUUCAUCGACCGGAAAUAUAGUCGAAGACUAUUAUUCUUACAUUUAAUCAAAAUGUCUCCUCAGCUCAUAGUCAAUGUCACUCAUGGCAUAUACAAACGGAAAAACGACUUGAAAACAGUUAUAACCAUUAUGACGGGUUGGCGAGUCUAAAGACGAGACGACUACAUUAACAUAUUCAUAAACUUGUUAAAUUAAUUUUUCGCAGUCAAAAAAUAAUAAGUGUUAAUAUUAUUGCGUGUAGUCAAGACGUAUAUUCUUUUAGUAUUAAGAAAUCUUCUCAUCGAUAGAAAAUUAAUUAUAUAACAAAAUCUUUUGCGUUUAAAUAUUACCUAAAUAGCACAAUAUAUCCCAGAAUCAUCCUGAACAUGUCUAAAAUGUUGUGCUUCAAGAUGACCUGAGCAUAUUCUGGAUGAUCCCAGAUCAUUUCGUGGUAUUCAGGUAUAUAUAUAUAUAUAUAUAUAUAUAUAUAUAUAUAUAUAUAUAUAUAUAUAUA
Molecule: RNA transcript, 2376 nt
Organism: Odontomachus brunneus
Lineage: Eukaryota; Metazoa; Arthropoda; Insecta; Hymenoptera; Formicidae
Gene name: NADP-dependent malic enzyme-like
Exons: 12
Source: RefSeq, a predicted model, not a curated record